UACGUAGGGGGCGAGCGUUGUCCGGAUUUAUUGGGCGUAAAGAGCUCGUAGGCGGUCUGUCGCGUCGGCUGUGAAAACCUGGGGCUCAACCCCGGGCCUGCAGCCGAUACGGGCAAACUAGAAUUCGGUAGGGGAGACUGGAAUUCCUGGUGUAGCGGUGAAAUGCGCAGAUAUCAGGAGGAACACCGGUGGCGAAGGCGGGUCUCUGGGCCGAUAUUGACGCUGAGGAGCGAAAGCGUGGGGAGCGAACAGG
This 253-nucleotide ribosomal RNA is filed under the name uncultured bacterium. Its description in RNAcentral is "partial 16S ribosomal RNA". It matches the Rfam family "Bacterial small subunit ribosomal RNA", at positions 524 to 776 of the family's 1533-position model. The record is from RNAcentral.